Molecule: non-coding RNA, 45 nt
Filed under: Schistosoma mansoni
Lineage: Eukaryota; Metazoa; Platyhelminthes; Trematoda; Strigeidida; Schistosomatidae
Source: RNAcentral
AUCCAUCUGACAAGUCCCAAUUAGAACGUAACGCGCGUCCUGGAU